This 966-nucleotide ribosomal RNA is filed under the name uncultured bacterium. RNAcentral's name for it is "bacterial SSU rRNA". It matches the Rfam family "Bacterial small subunit ribosomal RNA", at positions 244 to 1228 of the family's 1533-position model. The record is from RNAcentral.
ACGCAUCGCGAUAAAGUCUACAAGGCAUUGACGGGUAGCCGGCCUGAGAGGGUGACCGGCCACACUGGGACUGAGACACGGCCCAGACUCCUACGGGAGGCAGCAGUGGGGAAUAUUGGACAAUGGGCGAAAGCCUGAUCCAGCAACGCCGCGUGAGGGAUGACGGCCUUCGGGUUGUAAACCUCUUUCAGUAGGGACGAAGCGAAAGUGACGGUACCUACAGAAGAAGGACCGGCCAACUACGUGCCAGCAGCCGCGGUAAUACGUAGGGUCCGAGCGUUGUCCGGAAUUAUUGGGCGUAAAGGGCUCGUAGGCGGUUUGUCGCGUCGGGAGUGAAAACUCAGGGCUCAACCCUGAGCGUGCUUCCGAUACGGGCAGACUAGAGGGAUGCAGGGGAGAACGGAAUUCCUGGUGUAGCGGUGGAAUGCGCAGAUAUCAGGAGGAACACCGGUGGCGAAGGCGGUUCUCUGGGCAUUACCUGACGCUGAGGAGCGAAAGCAUGGGGAGCGAACAGGAUUAGAUACCCUGGUAGUCCAUGCCGUAAACGUUGGGCGCUAGGUGUGGGGACCUUCCACGGUCUCCGUGCCGCAGCUAACGCAUUAAGCGCCCCGCCUGGGGAGUACGGCCGCAAGGCUAAAACUCAAAGGAAUUGACGGGGGCCCGCACAAGCGGCGGAGCAUGCUGAUUAAUUCGAUGCAACGCGAAGAACCUUACCUGGGUUUGACAUAUACCGGAAAGCUGCAGAGAUGUAGCCCCCUUUUGGUCGGUAUACAGGUGGUGCAUGGCUGUCGUCAGCUCAUGUCGUGAGAUGUUGGGUUAAAGUCCCGCAACGAGCGCACCCUUCGUCCUAUGUUGCCAGCACGUAAUGUUGCGGACUCAUAGGAGACUGCCGGGGGUCAACUCGGAGGAAGGUGGGUAUGACGUCAAGUCUUCAUGCCCCUUAUGUCCAGGGCUUCAAGAUGCUCA